Long non-coding RNA from Homo sapiens (human), 6662 nucleotides. RefSeq lists it as uncharacterized. The transcript has 2 exons. The record is from RefSeq and is a predicted model, not a curated record. Lineage: Eukaryota; Metazoa; Chordata; Mammalia; Primates; Hominidae.
UCCUUCAUUCUGAUGACCUGGACAGUUUUGAAGAGUACUUGUCAGGUAUUUUGUAGAAUGUCCCUCAGUUUGGGUUGCCUAUUUUUUACAGAAUUAGACUAGGGUUAUGGGUUUUGGAGGACAAUACUAUAUAUGCUAUCAACCUGACUUCACACUGAUAAUAACCUCGAUGACCUGACCAAAGUGGUAUUUGUAGGUUUCCAACUAAAGUUACUUCUCCUGUCUCCUUCCACAUUGCAGUCUCUGGAAGCAAGUCACUAAGCACAGCCCACACUUUCGGGGUACACAGUCAUGCUACACCUCCUUGAAGCAGGAGUAUCUACAUAAAAUUAAUUGAAAUUUUUCUGUAGGGGAGAUUUAUCUCUUCUCCCUCAUUUAUUUACUUAUUCAACCACUUAUUUCUAUCACAAUGGACUUGUGUGUAUUCAUUUUAUUCCUAGUGUGAUAAUCCAAUACUGUUAAAUUUACUUUCCUGCCCAAGUUCUCCCAGUUUUGGGCUGUGAGGGUGCAGCUGGCUCUUGUGUUCCUUUAACACCCCAACAGUUUUUUGAGCUCUUGUUUUCUAGUACAGAGAGCCCUGAGUUAAGAUUUUUCAAGUUUAUGAUGGUGUGAAAGUGACAUGCAUACAGUAAAAGCCAUACCUCAUAUUUUGAGAUAUUCAAUAUUUUAGUAUAAAAUAGGCUUUGUGUUAGAUGAUUUUGCCCAACUGUGGACUAACGUAAGUGUUCUGAGCAGGUCGAAGGUAGGUUAGGCUAAGCUGUGAUGUUGGGUAGGUUGGGUAUAGCAAAUGCAUUAUCAACUUAACAAUAUUUUCAACUUAGAAUGGCUUUACCAGGAUAUAACCCCAUCAUACGUUGACUAUCAUCUGACUACGAGAUGCUCCAGGUUCAUCUUGUAUAUUCCCUGCCUCAGCCCUAGAAUCAGCUAUUUCUCCAAGGAGCCCUGGUUCAUUUAUUAGAGGAUGGUAUUAGAAACCAAGAUUUGGGUGUUGGAUGGACUUGUUGCUACUGUCAAUUAUCCUCUGUGAAACCGAAUUGGCCAGUGGAAACAUCUUUAAAUUGGCUCGAUAUGACCCCAGUAGUCUUUGAAAGCUCCUUCCCUAUCUUUUAUGACAAGAUGUUCCAAGCUUAUUUGUAUAUUUCCUGCCCCAGAAUUGUAGUCAGUUAUUUCUCUAAGACACCCUGAUUUCUUAAAAGAAAGAAUAUUGGGAAGAAUAUUUCUGUAUCACAAUUGGAGUUACUAGGUAUACUCAUUGCUACUGGGCUGGUCCUUGUUUCUAAGCCUUUUCAGUGAAUAGAGCAAAAGCAGGGGUGGGUGUGUGUGUGUGUUUAGUUUUAAAUAAAAUUUCUCAUGAGUUCAUAUGGAGUACUACAGGGUUUAAAAAAAAUCUAAAUUCUUUGGAAUUACAUCUGUAUUCUUUCACAUUAAAAGUCCUAGUUCUCAAAGACAGAGGAUGAUAGAAUUAGAUUAUCUAAUAACUGCUCAUUUAUAUUAUCUCACAUUAUACAUAGUCUUGGAAUAAUAACACUAACUUUGACACUCCACCAAUAUAAUUACUGAGAACUGUUAAAAUUUUGCAUGAUUUCCCCAUUUCUCCAUUUUUAAAAAGUUAUCUACAUUAUCUGGGCACAUAGGCAUUACAUACUCUAUCUCCCUUUUAAUCCUCAUUUCAUCUUAAUUCUACAAGUAACUGUACAUUUAACGCUUGCUACCUGUCCUUAUUUCAAUGUCUCUCAACACUUUGGCUGUCUGAAGCUCAUUCUCUAGCAAAUUCAUGGGAUGGUGGAACAAUAUUUCUUGAAUUCCUGCAUGUUGAUAAAUAUCUGUACUCUUUAUACUUGAAAGUCAGUUUUACCAGGUAUAAUGUUCCUUGGCUCACAUUUUUUUCCCUCUGAGUUUCUUAAAUACCUGCUAUUCCAUUUUCUUCUUUCUUCUGGCAUAAAGUAUAGAUCUCAAAAAAUCUGAGGGUAACCUAAGUUGCUUUCCUUUAUAAAUCACUUACUAUUUUUACUGAGAUGUCUGUGGCUUUUUUUUCUUUAAAGUUCGGAAAUUUUAUUAGACUAUGUCUUGUUGGUCAUUCUGGGUCCUUUCCCAGGAACAUGGUGUGAUUUUUCCUAUCAAGUGACCGUGGCGCUCGAGCCCUCCAGGACCAGGAGCUUAGGCCCCAUGGAGAAGCUGGGCCUGGUGCCGGGCAGCAGUUGUGCCUCUUUGGUGCAGUGUCUCAGCCCCAGGGAACUGGAGCUUUGGCCCAGGGGGGCAGCUGGGACCCUGGUGCCUUAGCCUGCAUGGCACCAGGUCCCUGGACCCCCCAGGGAAACACAGCCUUGGCUAAUCUGUACACACUGCUCUCUGGGCCAAACGGCAAUAGCACCCCCACCUCCCUGGAUCUGGACCAGCCCUCCGGGGUCUGAGCCACUGAGGUGUCCCACCUUCCUGGGGAGCAAAGCCAACAUUGCACUGCAUCCCACCCCCUGGAGCCCAAGCCACAGCUAUGCCCUACCAUUCCUGGGGCUGUGUUGCCACUGCACCCGGCCUCAUAGAGCUUCCAGGGUCCAGAGUCACCACUAUACAGCAUCUUCUUUCCUGGUGCCUGAAUUGCCACUGUGCCCUGCUCCCUGGGGUCUGAGCGUCUGGAACACCCCUCCCUCCCCAGAGCCAUGCCAGUACUAUGCCCUGACCCCCAGGUUAGGAAUCACAGCUACGUCCCUGCCCCUGGGCCCGAGCUACUGAGAAGUGCCUCAGAGUCAUAGUCCUUGCCUUGGUGGGAGAGCAGCAUCCACCUGUGCCUGAGACUGAACCUGCACCCAUGUCACAGGUCCCGCAGCAGUUCAAGAAGACACUGGACCCAGGACCAAGCUCCACAGCCACCCUGAGCACCCGUGCCUUGGAACACAGCACUGCUGUGGCUGCCUGUGGGUCGCGUCACACCCAACACCAAGAGAUUCCCCCCGCGCAACUUUUUUAAUCCCAAGAAACUUUCCUUAAUAUUAACUUUUAGCAUUUAUUCUUUUUCCUUGCUUUGGCUUUCUUCUUCAGAUAAUCCUAUUAUCUAUAUGCCAGGUCUUCUUUACUAUCUUUAGUAUAUGUCACUUUUCCUCAAACCCUGUUUAUCUUUUUUCGUUUUAAAAUUUUCCUUCCUUUUACCAUAGUAAGGCAUUUUCUGUUGUGUUCACUCAUUCUUGUUUCCUUCUACUUUAGCCUAUAUUUCUGAAAUGAUUCAUGUUCCCCAAGCUGUCAUAUUUCUGAGUUUUUCUAAUCCUGCUUUAUAUUGUCCUUCCAUGUCCUAUGUUAUUUUCUGAAUAUCUUCCAACUCUUUUUUGGAUACCAUGUUUCAGAUUUGUUCUGUUUUUUUGAGCGUGUCUUUCUGUAGUGUUUUUCUCUUCUAAUAACUUUGUGUAGGGUUUGACUUUGAUAAUUUUCUGUUCCCUUUUUCUCAGCUUUGUGCUGUAUUUCACAAUCCAUAAAAUCUACCCACUUAAAAGUAUACAUUUCAGUGUUUCUUUUUGUUUUUUUAUUUUUUGAGACAAAGUCUCACUCUGUUGCCAGGCUGGAGUGCAGUGGCACGAUCUCGACUCACUGCAACCUCUGCCUCCCAGGUUCAAGCCAAUUCUCCUGCCUCAGCCUCCCAAGUAGCUGGGACUACAGGCACGUACCACCAUGCCCGGCUAAUUUUUCUUUUUUUUUUGUAUUUUUAGUAGAGACGGGGUUUCACCAUCUUGGCCAGGCUGGUCUCAAACUCCUGACCUUGUGAUCCGCCUCCCAAAGUGCUGGGAUUACAGGUGUGAGCCAACAGUUCAGUGUUUUAUAUUCAGAGUUGUGCAACCAUCACCACAAUCUGUUGUUCAUUUUUACGUGAAAUGUUUUCCUAAACUUGUAGAAAGAAGCAUGGUUCAGAGUAGCUUUUCUAACUUCAUAAGGGCUCCCUUUCUGCUGUUUUCAUGUGAAUUAAAGAAAUAUGAUUACUUGCUUGAUUGGAGUUCCUGGUUCUGGUCCUCUCUCCUAAUUUCAUCUGGACCUUUUCUUUCUUUUUCUAUUCCUGUCCUGCUUAAUUUCAAUUCUACUCUCAGCAAUUUCUCCUCAGUGUGAGUCCCUGUCCUGGAAGGGAGACCGGUGGAUCAACUUCAAGAGUUCACUAAGGACUAGACUACUCUAUCGCUUUCAGACCUUCUGACUAUUGGACCCUCAUACUCAUCCCUCCCAGUUUCAACUGCAGUUCUUAAAUUGGACUGCCAUUCUUUCUAGGGAAUACACUGUUUUGGAAUUCUGUUUGUCAAGUUUUUCAGAUGGCCUGUCAACUCUGGUUUUCUCCUGCACAGAUGCCAAUAACUGCUGGAUCUUGUGGCUAUGGGUAAUUUGCCCUUACCUGUUUUUAUUGUGAGGUUCAUGGGGAUACACUGCCACCUAUUUUCAUUAUAAAUAUUGUCCAUGGGUUUUUUCACAUUCACUGAAGUGCAACAUACGUGUAGAAAAGUAUACUAACAUUUGUAUAGCUCAGUGACCUCUCACAUAUUGAACACAUCCAUGUAAUCAGUACCCAGAUGAAGAUACAAAAUAUUUCUAACUCCUCAGAAGACCCUGUAGGUCCAGUUCCAUUCAUGAUCCCCAACUAAGGGUGAACACUUACUAGCUUUCAACCAGCACACACAAGUAUCACCUGUUUGUUGAAGUUUGUAUGAAUGGAAUCAUACAGUAUAUACUCUUUUGCGUCUGGCUUUUUUCACACGAUUCAGCUAUAUUUGUCACUUAUAGCAAACAAACUAUAGUUUAACCUUAUUGCUACAUAGUUUUCCAUUGUGUGAAUAUACCAAAAUUUAUUCUUCAUUCUAUUAUUUAUGGGCAUUUGAGUGGUGUGUAUUCAGUGUGGACUAUUACAAAUAAUGCUGCUAUGUUCAAUCUUGUACAGGUCUUUUGUGGACAUAUGGUCUCACUCCUCUUAGGUAUAUACCGAGUAGUGAAACUGCCAGGUCAUGGGAGUAUACACGUGUCCAAUUUUUGUGCAUUACUACCAGAACCAUGACCACCCCUAGUUUCCCUGCCUUUAUUUCCUUUCAUCUAUUUACUUUGGGCUUUCUUUGUUCCCUAUGCCCCCACCCCCACCCUUGUUAAGGUAAAACCUUAGGUAAUUGAUUUUAUCUUCCUUUUUUCUAACAUAAGUGUUGAAAGUUACACACAUUUCCAUCUCAGCAUUGCUCGAGUUGUAUCCCAUAAAUUCUGAUGCUGUACUUUCACUGUAAUUCUGUUCAAAGUAUUCUCUUUUAUUUAUUUUUAAAUGGGCAAACAUAUUUAUUGUGUACAGUAUGUUUUGAAGUAUAUAUUAUGGGAUAGCUAAAUCUAGCUAAUUAAAAGAUGCAGUACCUUACACAUUGUUAUUUUUGCAGUAAGAACACUUAACAUCUACUCUGUAUUUUAUUUUCAUUUUUUUUGAGAUGGAGUUUUGCUCUGUUGCCCAGGCUGGAGUGCAAUGGUGUGAUCUUGACUCACUGCAACCUCUGCCUCCCAGACUCAACCGAUUCUCCUGCCUCGGCCUCCCGAAUAGCUGGGAUUACAGGCGCCCGCCACCACGCCCGGCUAAUUUUUCUAUUUUUAUUAGAGACGAGGUUUCACCAUGUUGGCCAGGUUAGUCUUGAACUCCCAACCUCAGGUGAUCCACCCGCCUCGGCCUCCCAAAGUGCUAGGAUUACAGGCGUGAGCCACCGCACCCAGCCAUUAACGAUAGUCACCAUGCUGUAUAACAGAUCUCUUGAACUUAUUCCCAGUUAGAAGUAUUUUCUAAUUUUCUUUCUAAUUUCUUCUUAGACCUAUAGGUUAUUUAGAAGUGUACUGUUUAAUUUUCAAAUAUUUGAGAAUUUUCUAGGUACAUUAUUGAUUUCUAAUUUAAUUCCAUUGUGGUCUGAGGACAUAUUCAGUGUGAUUUCAAUUUUUGAAAAUUUAUUGAGACUUAUUUCAUGGACCAGUAUAUGAUCUACCUUGGUGAAUGUUCCAUGGGUAUCUGAAAAGAAGGUGAAGGCAUACCUCGUUUUAUUGUGCUUCACUCUAUUGUGCUUUGCAGAGACUUUUUUUUUUUUUUUUUUUUUUAACAAAUUGAAGGUUUGUGGCAACCCUGCAGCGAGCAAGUCUAUUGGUGCCCUUUUUCUAAGAGCAUUUGCUCACUUUGUGUCACUGUGCCACAUUUUGGUAAUUCUCAGUUUCUCAAACUUUUUCAUUAUUUCAUUUGUUAUGGUGAUCUGUGGUCUUUGGUAUUACCAGUGUAAUUGUUCUGGGGCACCACAAACCAUGCCCACAGAAGACAGAGAACUUAAUGGGUAAAUGUGUUAUGUUCUGACUGCUCCACUGACUGGCUGUCCCAACCCUGCUCCAGGCCUCUCUGUUCCUUGAGACACAACAAUAUUGAAAUUGGGCCAAUGAAUAACCCUACAGUAGCCUAUCAUUCACUUUGGGGAGCGGAAGCUGUUGUGAGCAACCCUAUGUGAGCCUCCUGUCCUCAGCUACAUCGAUGAGCUUGGCAGUGAAUUAUCUAGUCCCAUCCAAGCUUCCAGAAGACUGCAGCCCCAGCUGACAGCUUGACUGCAACCUCAUGAAUGUUUCUGAGCUAGGACCACCCAGUUGCUUCUGAAUUCCUCACCCUCAGAAACUAUGAUACAAUAAAUGCUGAUUAUUUUAAA